RNAcentral lists this ribosomal RNA (468 nucleotides) under uncultured bacterium. Its description in RNAcentral is "partial 16S ribosomal RNA". It matches the Rfam family "Bacterial small subunit ribosomal RNA", at positions 28 to 507 of the family's 1533-position model. The record is from RNAcentral.
GACGAACGCUGGCGGCGUGCUUAACACAUGCAAGUCGAACGGAAAGGCCCUGCUUUUGUGGGGUGCUCGAGUGGCGAACGGGUGAGUAACACGUGAGUAACCUGCCCUUGACUUUGGGAUAACUUCAGGAAACUGGGGCUAAUACCGGAUAGGAGCUCCUGCUGCAUGGUGGGGGUUGGAAAGUUUCGGCGGUUGGGGAUGGACUCGCGGCUUAUCAGCUUGUUGGUGGGGUAGUGGCCUACCAAGGCUUUGACGGGUAGCCGGCCUGAGAGGGUGACCGGCCACAUUGGGACUGAGAUACGGCCCAGACGCCUACGGGAGGCAGCAGUGGGGAAUAUUGCACAAUGGGCGGAAGCCUGAUGCAGCAACGCCGCGUGCGGGAUGACGGCCUUCGGGUUGUAAACCGCUUCCGCCUGUGACGAAGCGUGAGUGACGGUAAUGGGUAAAGAAGCACCGGCUAACUACGUG